RNAcentral lists this ribosomal RNA (462 nucleotides) under uncultured bacterium. RNAcentral describes it as "partial 16S ribosomal RNA". It matches the Rfam family "Bacterial small subunit ribosomal RNA", at positions 28 to 507 of the family's 1533-position model. The record is from RNAcentral.
GACGAACGCUGGCGGCGUGCUUAACACAUGCAAGUCGAGCGGUAAGGCCUUUCGGGUUCCACGCGCGGGGAACGGGCGAGUAACACGUGGGCGAUCUGCCCUGCACUUCGGGAUAAGCCUGGGAAACUGGGACUAAUACCGGAAUUGAGCACCAUUUGCUGGGUCGGUGGGGGCAAGAUUUAUCGGCGCAGGAUGGGCCCGUGGCCGAUCAGCUUGUUGGUGGGGUAAUGGCCUACCAAGGCGACGACGGGUAGCCGACCUGGGAGGGUGACCGGCCACACGGGGACUGAGACACGGCCCAGUCUCCUACGUGAGGCAGCAGUGGAGAAUAUUGCACAGUGGGCGCAAGCCUGAUGCAGCGACGCCGCGUGCGUGAUGACGGCCUUCGGGUUGUAAACCUCUUUCUGCAGGGACGAAGCGCAAGUGACGGUACCUGCAGAAGAAGCCCCGGCUAACUACGUG